Molecule: ribosomal RNA, 711 nt
Filed under: Staphylococcus aureus
Lineage: Bacteria; Bacillati; Bacillota; Bacilli; Caryophanales; Staphylococcaceae
Description: partial 23S ribosomal RNA
Rfam family: Bacterial large subunit ribosomal RNA
Source: RNAcentral
UUCCUGUACCACCUAUAAUCGUUUUAAUCGAUGGGGGGACGCAGUAGGAUAGGCGAAGCGUGCGAUUGGAUUGCACGUCUAAGCAGUAAGGCUGAGUAUUAGGCAAAUCCGGUACUCGUUAAGGCUGAGCUGUGAUGGGGAGAAGACAUUGUGUCUUCGAGUCGUUGAUUUCACACUGCCGAGAAAAGCCUCUAGAUAGAAAAUAGGUGCCCGUACCGCAAACCGACACAGGUAGUCAAGAUGAGAAUUCUAAGGUGAGCGAGCGAACUCUCGUUAAGGAACUCGGCAAAAUGACCCCGUAACUUCGGGAGAAGGGGUGCUCUUUAGGGUUAACGCCCAGAAGAGCCGCAGUGAAUAGGCCCAAGCGACUGUUUAUCAAAAACACAGGUCUCUGCUAAACCGUAAGGUGAUGUAUAGGGGCUGACGCCUGCCCGGUGCUGGAAGGUUAAGAGGAGUGGUUAGCUUCUGCGAAGCUACGAAUCGAAGCCCCAGUAAACGGCGGCCGUAACUAUAACGGUCCUAAGGUAGCGAAAUUCCUUGUCGGGUAAGUUCCGACCCGCACGAAAGGCGUAACGAUUUGGGCACUGUCUCAACGAGAGACUCGGUGAAAUCAUAGUACCUGUGAAGAUGCAGGUUACCCGCGACAGGACGGAAAGACCCCGUGGAGCUUUACUGUAGCCUGAUAUUGAAAUUCGGCACAGCUUGUACAGG